AACGGCCGUACCAUGCUGAAUAUACCGGUUCUCGUUAGAUCACCGAAGUCAAGCAUCAUUGGGCGCGGUCAGUACUUGGGUGGGUGACCACCUGGGAACACUGCGUGCAGU
This 111-nucleotide ribosomal RNA is filed under the name Caerostris darwini. Lineage: Eukaryota; Metazoa; Arthropoda; Arachnida; Araneae; Araneidae. The record is from RNAcentral.